RNAcentral lists this ribosomal RNA (461 nucleotides) under Streptococcus mitis. RNAcentral describes it as "bacterial SSU rRNA". It matches the Rfam family "Bacterial small subunit ribosomal RNA", at positions 28 to 474 of the family's 1533-position model. The record is from RNAcentral. Lineage: Bacteria; Bacillati; Bacillota; Bacilli; Lactobacillales; Streptococcaceae.
GACGAACGCUGGCGGCGUGCCUAAUACAUGCAAGUAGAACGCUGAAGGAGGAGCUUGCUUCUCCGGAUGAGUUGCGAACGGGUGAGUAACGCGUAGGUAACCUGCCUGGUAGCGGGGGAUAACUAUUGGAAACGAUAGCUAAUACCGCAUAAUAGCAGUUAUUGCAUGAUAACUGUUUGAAAGGUGCAAUUGCACCACUACCAGAUGGACCUGCGUUGUAUUAGCUAGUUGGUGGGGUAACGGCUCACCAAGGCGACGAUACAUAGCCGACCUGAGAGGGUGAUCGGCCACACUGGGACUGAGACACGGCCCAGACUCCUACGGGAGGCAGCAGUAGGGAAUCUUCGGCAAUGGACGGAAGUCUGACCGAGCAACGCCGCGUGAGUGAAGAAGGUUUUCGGAUCGUAAAGCUCUGUUGUAAGAGAAGAACGAGUGUGAGAGUGGAAAGUUCACACUGGACG